GACGAACGCUGGCGGCGUGCCUAAUACAUGCAAGUUGAGCGCUGAAGGUUGGUACUUGUACCGACUGGAUGAGCAGCGAACGGGUGAGUAACGCGUGGGGAAUCUGCCUUUGAGCGGGGGACAACAUUUGGAAACGAAUGCUAAUACCGCAUAAAAACUUUAAACACAAGUUUUAAGUUUGAAAGAUGCAAUUGCAUUACUCAAAGAUGAUCCCGCGUUGUAUUAGCUAGUUGGUGAGGUAAAGGCUCACCAAGGCGAUGAUACAUAGCCGACCUGAGAGGGUGAUCGGCCACAUUGGGACUGAGACACGGCCCAAACUCCUACGGGAGGCAGCAGUAGGGAAUCUUCGGCAAUGGACGAAAGUCUGACCGAGCAACGCCGCGUGAGUGAAGAAGGUUUUCGGAUCGUAAAACUCUGUUGGUAGAGAAGAACGUUGGUGAGAGUGGAAAGCUCAUCAAGUGACGGUAACUACCCAGAAAGGGACGGCUAACUACGUG
This 497-nucleotide ribosomal RNA is filed under the name uncultured bacterium. RNAcentral's name for it is "partial 16S ribosomal RNA". It matches the Rfam family "Bacterial small subunit ribosomal RNA", at positions 28 to 507 of the family's 1533-position model. The record is from RNAcentral.